UUCUUCACUUCUGCUAUCACAUUCACAUACAUGUAACAGAAGCACAGAAGUGCUGCCUUCACUUGAAACCUGAAAUUCACCAACUUCAUCUUCACACUCUUAUCUUGCCCAACCUCAGUUGGAUAGUUCAGGCAAUUUAGUGAGUCGCUUCUAAUGGUAUUUUUAUUUGGAAACUGCAAUGAGAAUGGAAAUUUAAGGCUUGCAUAGGACUAAGAGAUAUUCUGUUGGCUUCUAGCUGACUAAUGCAUUUCCAAUUGUAAUAUUUCUGAUUGGGUAGGUCACCACUGAG
This 289-nucleotide unclassified non-coding RNA is filed under the name Hevea brasiliensis (rubber tree). The record is from RNAcentral. Lineage: Eukaryota; Viridiplantae; Streptophyta; Magnoliopsida; Malpighiales; Euphorbiaceae.